Molecule: transfer RNA, 541 nt
Filed under: uncultured Prochlorococcus sp.
Lineage: Bacteria; Bacillati; Cyanobacteriota; Cyanophyceae; Synechococcales; Prochlorococcaceae
Description: partial 16S-23S ribosomal RNA intergenic spacer
Rfam family: tRNA (bases 212-284)
Source: RNAcentral
CAGGGAGACAACAAAAUGUUUAAUAUUAUUAUUUUGUCACCUUAGGUCGAUCGGUAUCUCACGUUCUUAAUUUGUUAAGAAUUUCAUUUCCUAAGUUUUUCUAGGUCACACCCAUUAUUUUUCCUGGGCCAUUAGCUCAGGUGGUUAGAGCGCACCCCUGAUAAGGGUGAGGUCCCUGGUUCAAGUCCAGGAUGGCCCAUAUCUCUAUGUUGGGGGUAUAGCUCAGUUGGUAGAGCGCCUGCUUUGCAAGCAGGAUGUCAGCGGUUCGAGUCCGCUUACCUCCACUGAUUACCACCUCUUCCAUAACUGGUAGAAAGGAAAUGUUUUGAGUUGUGAUCAUUAUUCUGAACGAAUCUAGCUUCCUAAUGAAAUCAUUAAGAUGCUGGACUCAUUGAAUUAAUUUCAUUGUUUUCAGAGAACCUUGACAACUGCAUAGAUUUUUUUAAAGACAAUAAGCAUCUUUAAUGAUGCAGAUUUAUUAUUUGUGCGAAUGCAUUAAUAACAAUUCUAUUAAGCUGAUGCUUCAAUUUUUGAAGUUAUU